UGGGGAAUUUUGGACAAUGGGCGCAAGCCUGAUCCAGCCAUGCCGCGUGUGGGAAGAAGGCCUUAGGGUUGUAAAAUCCUUUCGUGGGGGACGAUAAUGACGGUACCCCAAGAAGAAGCUCCGGCUAACUUCGUGCCAGCAGCCGCGGUAAUACGAAGGGGGCUAGCGUUGUUCGGAUUUACUGGGCGUAAAGCGCGUGUAGGCGGGUCGUUAAGUUGGGGGUGAAAUCCCGAGGCUCAACCUCGGAACUGCCUUCAAAACUGGCGACCUGGACUCAAGCAGAGGCAAGUGGAAUUGCGAGUGUAGAGGUGAAAUUCGUAGAUAUUCGCAGGAACACCAGUGGCGAAGGCGACUUGCUGGGCUUGUAGUGACGCUGAGACGCGAAAGCGUGGGGAGCAAACAGGAUUAGAUACCCCCGUAGUCCCUGAGCGGGCUGGCAAGGCGCAU
This 447-nucleotide ribosomal RNA is filed under the name uncultured bacterium. RNAcentral describes it as "bacterial SSU rRNA". It matches the Rfam family "Bacterial small subunit ribosomal RNA", at positions 355 to 825 of the family's 1533-position model. The record is from RNAcentral.